UUUUUCUGUAGAUUAAUUUUUACCUUAUGUUUUAGCAUUAAGUACAAAAAUACAAAUACAAAAUCAUUUAUUUCGAUUACUCGUACAAAUUAACAUUUUAUGCUGACCCCCACACUAGGCGUCGCCUGUCUCGUGGGGGAAAUAGUAAAAUUAACAGAAAAGAAAAUUAUAGAAGCGGCUAGUGACAAGCUGAUUACUAAAAUUUAACUAAUCAAACAAAGAAAUGAACUAAAUGAUAAUAACUAUACAAGUAUUAAUUGUGUGUAUAUGUAGGUGAAAGUGUAUGUAUUGUGUAUAUGUGUAUUUGUUAGUACCUUAAGAAGAUUUACGGUUUCCAUAUAGGAUAGUUGUAUUAAAUUUCUUUGAUAAUAGCUCUUUAGACUUGAGGAUGGAGUGUUUAUAUAGCUGGACGAGUUUAUUAUAAAUCCGGGGAUACAAAAAGUUACAGGCAAUUUGUAAACAGUAACAAAGAAAGAAUGUUCUUGUACGAACGAAUAUUCGUCUCGAAGGACCAAUUUGACUAUGUAGGUACGAGCUGUUGUUACUAUACGACAGUCAAAAUAGCUCUUUAGCCUUGAAGAUGGAGUGUUUUUAUAGCUGGACCAGUUUAUUAUAAAUCCGGGGGUACAAAAAGUAACAGGCAAUUUGUAAACAGUAACAAAGAAAGAAUGUUCUUGUACGAACGAAUAUUCGUCUCGAAGGACCAAUUUGACUAUGUAGGUACGAGAUGUUGCUACAAUACGAUAGUCAAAGAUGUUGUUUAGUUACGUAUAUUUUUAUAUUAAAAGGGUGUUGUUGUGAAUUUCGAUGAACAAGCGUGGUAAGUAUUCGUCGCGAGAUCGUAUUGAUCGCGCUUGUCGUGUAAAGUGUUGAGUGAGGAAGGUACAAUAAAUAGGGUUAUUCCAGGACCACGCUCGACGCUUAAAGUUCACGUAACUUUCGCAUCAGGAGACUUCACACUAAACUAAACUCUUUCCCGCAAUACUUUAAGAUAGCGCAGCCGACCUUGUUUGUUCCUGAAGGAUCUGUUUAUCGAGAGGCGCAACGUUCUAAACACAUAUAUUAUGUAUGUUGGGCCUCAUAGAAAGCAUUCCUGGUGCUGUAAAUUGUGACAGCUGCGAAUUGUGACAGCUCCGACCAGGAAGAAGUGGACGCGGCCCCCGGAGACAGUGACGAUCAGACACGACACGACGCACUGACACAGUCUGACAGGAUCAGAACUAGAUAUAUAGCACAAAUAUUACCAAACACUAGCAUUCCGGAGAGGCAAUAGGCAACUGUAG
Molecule: long non-coding RNA, 1283 nt
Organism: Leptidea sinapis
Lineage: Eukaryota; Metazoa; Arthropoda; Insecta; Lepidoptera; Pieridae
Exons: 2
Source: RefSeq, a predicted model, not a curated record